GAUUUCUUCGGUAAAGAGCGGCGGACGGGUGAGUAACGCGUGGGUAACCUACCCUGUACACACGGAUAACAUACCGAAAGGUAUGCUAAUACGGGAUAAUAUAUUUGAGAGGCAUCUCUUAAAUAUCAAAGGUGAGCCAGUACAGGAUGGACCCGCGUCUGAUUAGCUAGUUGGUAAGGUAACGGCUUACCAAGGCGACGAUCAGUAGCCGACCUGAGAGGGUGAUCGGCCACAUUGGAACUGAGACACGGUCCAAACUCCUACGGGAGGCAGCAGUGGGGAAUAUUGCACAAUGGGCGAAAGCCUGAUGCAGCAACGCCGCGUGAGUGAUGAAGGCCUUCGGGUCGUAAAACUCUGUCCUCAAGGAAGAUAAUGACGGUACUUGAGGAGGAAGCCCCGGCUAACUACGUGCCAGCAGCCGCGGUAAUACGUAGGGGGCUAGCGUUAUCCGGAUUUACUGGGCGUAAAGGGUGCGUAGGCGGUCUUUCAAGUCAGGAGUGAAAGGCUACGGCUCAACCGUAGUAAGCUCUUGAAACUGGGAGACUUGAGUGCAGGAGAGGAGAGUGGAAUUCCUAGUGUAGCGGUGAAAUGCGUGGAUAUU
Molecule: ribosomal RNA, 601 nt
Filed under: uncultured bacterium
Lineage: Bacteria
Description: bacterial SSU rRNA
Rfam family: Bacterial small subunit ribosomal RNA
Source: RNAcentral